GGGUGAGAAUCCCGUCCACCGAUUGACUAAGGUUUCCAGAGGAAGGCUCGUCCGCUCUGGGUUAGUCGGGUCCUAAGCUGAGGCCGACAGGCGUAGGCGAUGGAUAACAGGUUGAUAUUCCUGUACCACCUAUAAUCGUUUUAAUCGAUGGGGGGACGCAGUAGGAUAGGCGAAGCGUGCGAUUGGAUUGCACGUCUAAGCAGUAAGGCUGAGUAUUAGGCAAAUCCGGUACUCGUUAAGGCUGAGCUGUGAUGGGGAGAAGACAUUGUGUCUUCGAGUCGUUGAUUUCACACUGCCGAGAAAAGCCUCUAGAUAGAAAAUAGGUGCCCGUACCGCAAACCGACACAGGUAGUCAAGAUGAGAAUUCUAAGGUGAGCGAGCGAACUCUCGUUAAGGAACUCGGCAAAAUGACCCCGUAACUUCGGGAGAAGGGGUGCUCUUUAGGGUUAACGCCCAGAAGAGCCGCAGUGAAUAGGCCCAAGCGACUGUUUAUCAAAAACACAGGUCUCUGCUAAACCGUAAGGUGAUGUAUAGGGGCUGACGCCUGCCCGGUGCUGGAAGGUUAAGAGGAGUGGUUAGCUUCUGCGAAGCUACGAAUCGAAGCCCCAGUAAACGGCGGCCGUAACUAUAACGGUCCUAAGGUAGCGAAAUUCCUUGUCGGGUAAGUUCCGACCCGCACGAAAGGCGUAACGAUUUGGGCACUGUCUCAACGAGAGACUCGGUGAAAUCAUAGUACCUGUGAAGAUGCAGGUUACCCGCGACAGGACGGAAAGACCCCGUGGAGCUUUACUGUAGCCUGAUAUUGAAAUUCGGCACAGCUUGUACAGGAUAGGUAGGAGCCUUUGAAACGUGAGCGCUAGCUUACGUGGAGGCGCUGGUGGGAUACUACCCUAGCUGUGUUGGCUUUCUAACCCGCACCACUUAUCGUGGUGGGAGACAGUGUCAGGCGGGCAGUUUGACUGGGGCGGUCGCCUCCUAAAAGGUAACGGAGGCGCUCAAAGGUUCCCUCAGAAUGGUUGGAAAUCAUUCAUAGAGUGUAAAGGCAUAAGGGAGCUUGACUGCGAGACCUACAAGUCGAGCAGGGUCGAAAGACGGACUUAGUGAUCCGGUGGUUCCGCAUGGAAGGGCCAUCGCUCAACGGAUAAAAGCUACCCCGGGGAUAACAGGCUUAUCUCCCCCAAGAGUUCACAUCGACGGGGAGGUUUGGCACCUCGAUGUCGGCUCAUCGCAUCCUGGGGCUGUAGUCGGUCCCAAGGGUUGGGCUGUUCGCCCAUUAAAGCGGUACGCGAGCUGGGUUCAGAACGUCGUGAGACAGUUCGGUCCCUAUCCGUCGUGGGCGUAGGAAAUUUGAGAGGAGCUGUCCUUAGUACGAGAGGACCGGGAUGGACAUACCUCUGGUGUACCAGUUGUCGUGCCAACGGCAUAGCUGGGUAGCUAUGUGUGGACGGGAUAAGUGCUGAAAGCAUCUAAGCAUGAAGCCCCCCUCAAGAUGAGAUUUCCCAACUUCGGUUAUAAGAUCCCUCAAAGAUGAUGAGGUUAAUAGGUUCGAGGUGGAAGCAUGGUGACAUGUGGAGCUGACGAAUACUAAUCGAUCGAAGACUUAAUCAAAUU
RNAcentral lists this ribosomal RNA (1611 nucleotides) under Staphylococcus aureus. RNAcentral's name for it is "partial 23S ribosomal RNA". It matches the Rfam family "Bacterial large subunit ribosomal RNA", at positions 1319 to 2925 of the family's 2925-position model. Lineage: Bacteria; Bacillati; Bacillota; Bacilli; Caryophanales; Staphylococcaceae. The record is from RNAcentral.